RNAcentral lists this non-coding RNA (262 nucleotides) under Pongo abelii (Sumatran orangutan). The record is from RNAcentral. Lineage: Eukaryota; Metazoa; Chordata; Mammalia; Primates; Hominidae.
GCCAGUUAUCCAGGCAGUGACUUUCAGUACAGCUACAGUCACCUCUGGACACCUGCAGAGACUUUAAAAAUUUCCAGAAGGUCAGGAAUUUUUGGAGACCUUUCUCAUGGCUACGUUGCCUGCAAAGGUGAAUUAAUAAGCUUCUGAACUGACUUAGAAAAUGUUUCAGAGACUCUGGUGGGCAGAUAGACCCUCUCCUGCCACUCCGGAUAGAUGUAUCUGCGUCACACACACCUGAUUUAACAACAUCUUAUUAUCUCAG